Molecule: ribosomal RNA, 404 nt
Filed under: uncultured prokaryote
Description: bacterial SSU rRNA
Rfam family: Bacterial small subunit ribosomal RNA
Source: RNAcentral
UGGGGAAUAUUGGGCAAUGGGCGCAAGCCUGACCCAGCAACGCCGCGUGAGGGAAGAAGGUCUUCGGAUUGUAAACCUCUGUCCUUGGGGACGAAAAAAUGACGGUACCCAAGGAGGAAGCUCCGGCUAACUACGUGCCAGCAGCCGCGGUAAUACGUAGGGAGCGAGCGUUGUCCGGAAUUACUGGGCGUAAAGGGUGCGUAGGCGGCGCCGCAAGUCAGAUGUGAAAUCCCCGGGCUUAACUCGGGGGGUGCAUUUGAAACUGCAGUGCUUGAGUGCAGGAGAGGAAAGCGGAAUUCCUAGUGUAGCGGUGAAAUGCGUGGAUAUUAGGAAGAACACCAGUGGCGAAGGCGGCUUUCUGGACUGUAACUGACGCUGAUGCACGAAAGCGUGGGGAGCAAACA